UACGUAGGGGGCAAGCGUUGUUCGGAAUUACUGGGCGUAAAGGGCGCGUAGGCGGCAUGGCAAGUCGGGAGUGAAAGCCCGGGGCUCAACCCCGGAGGGUCUCUCGAAACUGCCAAGCUAGAGUGCGGAAGAGGCAACUGGAAUUCCCAGUGUAGCGGUGAAAUGCGUAGAUAUCGGGAGGAACAUCAGUGGCGAAGGCGGCCUUCUGGUCCAGUACUGACACUCAAGUGCAAAAGCGUGGGGAGCAAACAGG
RNAcentral lists this ribosomal RNA (253 nucleotides) under uncultured bacterium. RNAcentral describes it as "partial 16S ribosomal RNA". It matches the Rfam family "Bacterial small subunit ribosomal RNA", at positions 524 to 776 of the family's 1533-position model. The record is from RNAcentral.